CACCAGCUGGCAGCCACUCCCACCAGCUCAGUGACACCAGUGCUCGCCAGUCUGCAGGUGUGGGCAGGAUGUGAGUCCAGGCGUCAGAGGGGAAAGAAUCCUGGCAGCCUUCAAGGAACCCAUCAUCAAGUAAACCAGACGAUGAACUGGGACUGUGUCAGAAAGUUUCCUCAGGUUGACCGUUAUUCAGUGACUUUAUUUACUGACGAUAGAGGGGACACAGCCCUUUUCAGGGAAAAUGACCAAAAGCAGCUCUGUGGAGAGGGCUUAACCUACUCUCCAGAUCAUGUAGAUUUGGCUGUGGAAAGGACAUGAAUGACUUGCUUCCAGGGAUAAGCCUAUUUUAGCUCAAUCUUCACCAUUUCUUCUCAGCAGCCACGUGUUUAGUGGCUGUGAAACUAGACUGACAACCUUUCGGCCACCAGAAAGGACUCGUGCAGUGUAAUCUCAGCAAGACAGCUGAAGACCACAUGGCAGCCCUGCUCGGCCACACACGUACCUUCAUCAGGAGCAGACAGUUUGCCAUGGAGUACAUCACCCGGCCCAGACGUGACCUCCACAGCCGAAUAGAGGCUGCAAGACAAGCUGCUGUUGCUGCUGCGAUUUGCAUAGAGAAUUGAGAUCAUCUUGCCAAUCAACACUCCCCACGUGACCCGCCCCAGGAGGUGAGGGCUUCCGUUCGUGUGACUCCCUGGUCUCCACACGCUGAGGACAAAGGCGGCCUCUCUUCACCUGCAGGGCCGUUAUUUAACACCAGAUGGAGAACAAUGUGCUGUGAACACGGAGGACUUUUCCUCUUAACCAUUAUCUUGGGCUGCCUUGAUGACUCAGAGGACAGCCUGUGGUUCCAAACUGUGACCUUCUGAAAACAAUCUAGCCGGUUCAAACUCGGUGAAAUGACAUUCUUCGGUGAAUCUGUCUUCUGAUGAAUAAUCACAAGAGCAGAAAUUGACAAAGAAGAAAACCUUGGUGUUACCAUGAAUUAACUUCCCUCAACCCUCGCACACAGUUGGCGGGAAUGUAAUCAGCGCAACCACUAUGGAGAACAGUGGAGUUUCUACAAAAACCUAAAAAUAGAGCUACUAUACCACCCAGCAAUCCCACGCCCAGAUAUAUACCCCGGAGAAAGGAAACUGGUGUAUCGGAGAGAUCUCUGCACGCCCGAGUGUGUGCCAACACCGUUCACCACAGCCACGACUUGGAAGCAGCGUUAAGUGUCCAUCCACGGAUGAGGGGAUAAAGGAAACGGCCACACACACGACGGAGGACCGUUCAGCCAUCAAACAGAAUGGGGUCCUGUCAUUUACAACAA
Saimiri boliviensis boliviensis (Bolivian squirrel monkey) is the source of this 1312-nucleotide long non-coding RNA. RefSeq lists it as uncharacterized. NCBI's taxonomy places the organism in Eukaryota, Metazoa, Chordata, Mammalia, Primates, Cebidae. The record is from RefSeq and is a predicted model, not a curated record.